This 1064-nucleotide ribosomal RNA is filed under the name uncultured Bacteroidales bacterium. RNAcentral describes it as "bacterial SSU rRNA". It matches the Rfam family "Bacterial small subunit ribosomal RNA", at positions 32 to 1087 of the family's 1533-position model. Lineage: Bacteria; Pseudomonadati; Bacteroidota; Bacteroidia; Bacteroidales. The record is from RNAcentral.
AACGCUAGCUACAGGCUUAACACAUGCAAGUCGAGGGGCAGCGGAGUUGUAGCUUGCUAUAACUGCCGGCGACCGGCGCACGGGUGAGUAACACGUAUGCAACCUGCCCGUUGCAGGGGGAUAAGCGGAAGAAAUUCCGUCUAAUACCGCGUAAUAUACUUUAGGGGCAUCCUUUUAGUAUUAAAGAUUUAUCGGCAACGGAUGGGCAUGCGGCGCAUUAGCUAGUUGGUGAGGUAACGGCUCACCAAGGCGACGAUGCGUAGGGGUUCUGAGAGGAAGAUCCCCCACACUGGUACUGAGACACGGACCAGACUCCUACGGGAGGCAGCAGUGAGGAAUAUUUGGUCAAUGGGCGAGAGCCUGAACCAGCCAAGUCGCGUGAGGGAUGACGGUCCUACGGAUUGUAAACCUCUUUUGUCGGGGAGCAAGAGCUCUACGUGUAGAGUAGUGAGAGUACCCGAAGAAAAAGCAUCGGCUAACUCCGUGCCAGCAGCCGCGGUAAUACGGAGGAUGCGAGCGUUAUCCGGAUUUAUUGGGUUUAAAGGGUGCGUAGGCGGAAGAUUAAGUCAGUGGUCAAAUCGUGAGGCUCAACCUCAUCCAGCCAUUGAAACUGGUUUUCUUGAGUGGAAGAGAAGUAUGCGGAAUGCGUGGUGUAGCGGUGAAAUGCAUAGAUAUCACGCAGAACUCCGAUUGCGAAGGCAGCAUACCGGCUUCCAACUGACGCUGAAGCACGAAAGCGUGGGUAUCGAACAGGAUUAGAUACCCUGGUAGUCCACGCAGUAAACGAUGAAUACUAAUUGUUCGGUCUAAUUGAAGAUUGAGUGAUACAGCGAAAGCGUUAAGUAUUCCACCUGGGGAGUACGCCGGCAACGGUGAAACUCAAAGGAAUUGACGGGGGCCCGCACAAGCGGAGGAACAUGUGGUUUAAUUCGAUGAUACGCGAGGAACCUUACCCGGGCUCAAACGACAGGGGAAUAUCCCCGAAAGGGGAUAGCCUUCGUGGCCGCUGUCGAGGUGCUGCAUGGUUGUCGUCAGCUCGUGCCGUGAGGUGUCGGCUUAAGUGC